GGGGCCGACCGGUUUCGACAGCAAGAUGAAUGAAUGAGUAAGCAAGUCGAGCAUUGAGUGAGUGGCUCGUUAAUCUCAACACUAAACUUCGCUAAACGGCGACAAUAACUACGCGCUUGCGGCCUAAUAUCCGAUAGGAAUUACGCCUAAUCUCAGUAGCAUAACUAUUGAGACAAGCUAUCUCGCAGGGGUUCUACCCAUUAAUUCCCUGAUCACGAGGUAUCAGACUUUUGGGUUAGUCAACAGAGUGCCUCAAUUUGUUGGCGAAACUUUAGAGGAUAAGCUAUAAGUAGGUUGUUUACUGCUGGUUUAUAGUCGAAAACUAAGAGUAAACUAAACUUGUAGAAGGCUCUUUGAUUCCUUGUUUGGACGAGGGUUCGAAUCCCUCCGGCUCCAC
This 397-nucleotide transfer-messenger RNA is filed under the name marine eukaryotic metagenome. It matches the Rfam family "transfer-messenger RNA". From Rfam's summary of the family: Bacterial tmRNA, also known as 10Sa RNA or SsrA, is named for its dual tRNA and mRNA-like properties. The record is from RNAcentral.